CCAAUAGCGUAUAUUAAAGUUGUUGCAGUUAAAAAGCUCGUAGUUGAAUUUCGGGGUUAGUAGGUUGGUCAUGCCUCUGGUAUGUACUGGUCUCACUGAUUCCUCCUUCCUGAUGAACCUUAAUGCCAUUAAUUUGGUGUUUUGGGGAAUUUGGACUGUUACUUUGAAAAAAUUAGAGUGUUUAAAGCAAGCUAACGCUUGAAUACAUUAGCAUGGAUUAAUGAAAUAGGACGUUCGAUCCUAUUUUGUUGGUUUCUAGGAUUGACGUAAUGAUUAAUAGGGAUAGUUGGGGGCAUUAGUAUUCAAUUGUCAGAGGUGAAAUUCUUGGAUUUAUUGAAGACUAACUACUGCGAAAGCAUUUGCCAAGGAUGUUUUCAUUAAUCAAGAACGAAAGUUAGGGGAUCGAAGACGAUCAGAUACCGUCGUAGUCUUAACCAUAAACUAUGCCGACUAGGGAUCGGAUGAUGUUAAUUUUUUAAUGACUCAUUCGGCGCCUUACG
RNAcentral lists this non-coding RNA (500 nucleotides) under uncultured Glomus. RNAcentral describes it as "SSU rRNA". It matches the Rfam family "Eukaryotic small subunit ribosomal RNA", at positions 591 to 1092 of the family's 1831-position model. The record is from RNAcentral. Lineage: Eukaryota; Fungi; Glomeromycota; Glomeromycetes; Glomerales; Glomeraceae. RNAcentral also lists the same sequence under 1 other name.